CCUACGGGAUGCACCAGUGGGUAAUAUUGCACAAUGGGCGCAAGCCUGAUGCAGCCAUGCCGCGUGUAUGAAGAAGGCCUUCGGGUUGUAAAGUACUUUUAGCGGGGAGGAAGGUGUUGAGGUUAAUAACCUCAGCAAUUGACGUUACCCGCAGAAGAAGCACCGGCUAACUCCGUGCCAGCAGCCGCGGUAAUACGGAGGGUGCAAGCGUUAAUCGGAAUUACUGGGCGUAAAGCGCACGCAGGCGGUCUGUCAAGUCGGAUGUGAAAUCCCCGGGCUCAACCUGGGAACUGCAUUCGAAACUGGCAGGCUAGAGUCUUGUAGAGGGGGGUAGAAUUCCAGGUGUAGCGGUGAAAUGCGUAGAGAUCUGGAGGAAUACCGGUGGCGAAGGCGGCCCCCUGGACAAAGACUGACGCUCAGGUGCGAAAGCGUGGGGAGCAAACAGGAUUAGAUACCCUUGUAGUC
This 465-nucleotide ribosomal RNA is filed under the name uncultured bacterium. RNAcentral's name for it is "bacterial SSU rRNA". It matches the Rfam family "Bacterial small subunit ribosomal RNA", at positions 338 to 795 of the family's 1533-position model. The record is from RNAcentral.